This 484-nucleotide ribosomal RNA is filed under the name uncultured bacterium. Its description in RNAcentral is "partial 16S ribosomal RNA". It matches the Rfam family "Bacterial small subunit ribosomal RNA", at positions 30 to 507 of the family's 1533-position model. The record is from RNAcentral.
AUUGAACGCUGGCGGCAGGCCUAACACAUGCAAGUCGAGCGGAUGAAGGGAGCUUGCUCCUGGAUUCAGCGGCGGACGGGUGAGUAAUGCCUAAGAAUCUGCCUGGUAGUGGGGGAUAACGUCCGGAAACGGGCGCUAAUACCGCAUACGUCCUGAGGGAGAAAGUGGGGGAUCUUCGGACCUCACGCUAUCAGAUGAGCCUAGGUCGGAUUAGCUAGUUGGUGGGGUAAAGGCCUACCAAGGCGACGAUCCGUAACUGGUCUGAGAGGAUGAUCAGUCACACUGGAACUGAGACACGGUCCAGACCCCUACGGGAGGCAGCAGUGGGGAAUAUUGGACAAUGGGCGAAAGCCUGAUCCAGCCAUGCCGCGUGUGUGAAGAAGGUCUUCGGAUUGUAAAGCACUUUAAGUUGGGAGGAAGGGCAGUAAGUUAAUACCUUGCUGUUUUGACGUUACCAACAGAAUAAGCACCGGCUAACUUCGUG